AAAAUAAUUAUAGCGCCUGAGCUAAGGAAAUAGAGCGGACAUCAAUCCUUAGUUGACGAGGUGGAGGUUUAUCGAAAUUUCGGCGGAUACCUCCCGAUUGACAAUGCCCAGUCGUCAUAUUCGUUUUAAAAGCAGAAAAGCGAUUUUCUGUACAAACAAGCGAAUAGGCAUAAAA
RNAcentral lists this non-coding RNA (175 nucleotides) under Bacillus sp. (in: firmicutes). RNAcentral describes it as "Bacillus sp. GlcN6P sequence". It matches the Rfam family "glmS glucosamine-6-phosphate activated ribozyme aptamer". Rfam says of the family: This entry contains a glucosamine-6-phosphate activated ribozyme that is found in the mRNA for GlmS. GlmS is an enzyme that uses fructose-6-phosphate and glutamine to generate glucosamine-6-phosphate. Lineage: Bacteria; Bacillati; Bacillota; Bacilli; Caryophanales; Bacillaceae. The record is from RNAcentral.